This 71-nucleotide transfer RNA is filed under the name Asanoa ishikariensis. RNAcentral's name for it is "tRNA_Amber_CTA". It matches the Rfam family "tRNA". Rfam says of the family: Transfer RNA (tRNA) molecules are approximately 80 nucleotides in length. Their secondary structure includes four short double-helical elements and three loops (D, anti-codon, and T loops). Lineage: Bacteria; Bacillati; Actinomycetota; Actinomycetes; Micromonosporales; Micromonosporaceae. The record is from RNAcentral.
GCCCCAGAGGUCCGACGGACGGGCGGCCGCCUCUAAAGCGGUGAUAGCGGGUUCGACUCCUGCCUGGGGCG